This 739-nucleotide non-coding RNA is filed under the name Pongo abelii (Sumatran orangutan). Lineage: Eukaryota; Metazoa; Chordata; Mammalia; Primates; Hominidae. The record is from RNAcentral.
AGAUGGGGUCUCACUCUGUUGCCCAGGCUGGUCUCAAACUCCUGGCUUCAAGGAAUCCUCCUGCUUCGGCCUCCCAAACUUCUGGGAUUACAGAUAUGAGCCACCAUGGCUGACUGACGGGCACCAAAUUCUAGGAGAGGACUUGAAUAGGCUCCUAAGGAGGCAGCAGAAACCAAGGUAAUCACAAUGGUCAACAGCAGCGAAGGCAGCACUUUCUGAUUUUAAACUUGACUGCUAUGGAUGCCACCUCAGUUUAAUAUCUGACAGGAGGUGUCCUGGUGAUUAGCUGGAGCUCUGGGGAGCUGUUGCUGAAAUUAACUUGAGUGCUUUGGAGAGAGAUUUACAUGGAAGAGUGGAGCCAGGGCUGCUCCUUUGGCAGGCACUGCUGUGCCACUGUGGAGGCGCCCCUGCUUUUCCCAUGCUGUGCAAUGUCCUCAAAGGCCUUUGGAGCCAUGCCUAGGCUCAGCCCCAUCCUGGUGUCCCCCUGUGUCCGUUGUGCCACUGCCCGGCUACUUCACUUGGCCAUGGGCCUUACCAGCUUGCAGACAAACCCGUCCAUCUACGCCUCCCAGCGCAGCUUGGCCCACUUGCAAGCACUUACAGAGGGUUUCAGAAGGAACAUGUCUGCCAUCUGUGUUUGGAGACUGUGUCCCAGACUUUCGAGCUCACAUUAGUCAUCGCCACAGACGGGACUGGAGUCCUGCCCACUGGAGUCCCAAAGGUCUCUGGUGUUUGUUUU